UGGGGAAUAUUGCACAAUGGGCGCAAGCCUGAUGCAGCAACGCCGCGUGAGGGAUGACGGCCUUCGGGUUGUAAACCUCUUUUAGUAGGGAAGAAGCGAAAGUGACGGUACCUGCAGAAAAAGCACCGGCUAACUACGUGCCAGCAGCCGCGGUAAUACGUAGGGUGCGAGCGUUGUCCGGAAUUAUUGGGCGUAAAGAGCUCGUAGGCGGUCUGUCGCGUCUGCUGUGAAAACCCGAGGCUCAACCUCGGGCCUGCAGUGGGUACGGGCAGACUAGAGUGCGGUAGGGGAGAAUGGAAUUCCUGGUGUAGCGGUGGAAUGCGCAGAUAUCAGGAGGAACACCGAUGGCGAAGGCAGUUCUCUGGGCCGUAACUGACGCUGAGGAGCGAAAGCGUGGGGAGCGAACAGGAUUAGAUACCCUGGUAGUCCACGCCGUAAACGUUGGGCGCUAGAUGUGGGGCACCAUUCCACGGUUUCCGUGUCGCAGCUAACGCAUUAAGCGCCCCGCCUGGGAAGUACGGCCGCAAGGCUAAAA
This 535-nucleotide ribosomal RNA is filed under the name uncultured bacterium. RNAcentral describes it as "partial 16S ribosomal RNA". It matches the Rfam family "Bacterial small subunit ribosomal RNA", at positions 355 to 899 of the family's 1533-position model. The record is from RNAcentral.